RNAcentral lists this ribosomal RNA (301 nucleotides) under uncultured bacterium. RNAcentral's name for it is "partial 16S ribosomal RNA". It matches the Rfam family "Bacterial small subunit ribosomal RNA", at positions 509 to 807 of the family's 1533-position model. The record is from RNAcentral.
CAGUCGCCGCGGGAAUACGAAGGGGGCUAGCGUUGUUCGGAUUUACUGGGCGUAAAGCGCACGUAGGCGGAUCGAUCAGUCAGGGGUGAGAUCCCAGAGCUCAACUCUGGAACUGCCUUUGAUACUGUCGAUCUGGAGUAUGGAAGAGGUGAGUGGAAUUCCGAGUGUAGAGGUGAAACUCGUAGGUAUUCGGAGGAACACCAGUGGCGAAGGCGGCUCACUGGUCCAUUACUGACGCUGAGGUGCGAAAGCGUGGGGAGCAAACAGGAUUAGAUACCCGGGUAGUCCCUGUCUCUUAUAC